Molecule: long non-coding RNA, 277 nt
Organism: Astyanax mexicanus (Mexican tetra)
Lineage: Eukaryota; Metazoa; Chordata; Actinopteri; Characiformes; Acestrorhamphidae
Exons: 2
Source: RefSeq, a predicted model, not a curated record
CUAUGGUGCUGCUAGUAGUAUUUUUUUCAGUUUUAAAACAUUUUUGUUAAAGAGCAAAGUUGCACUGUGUUUAGCGGGCAGUAUGCGCCCUCUACUGGUUUGUUGGCAAUACAGCUUCCUAGCUUUUGAGCCUAACUAUUAUGCUGGCUUUCUUUUCGUGUUAGGCAUUCCCUGUUGAAGCUAUUGAGACCAAAAUCUGUAUCUACUUUGCUCUAUAUGCUUUUUAUAUAGUGAACUUGACUGAGAGAGGAGAAACAAAUACACAGACUGAAGCUGA